Molecule: ribosomal RNA, 549 nt
Filed under: Staphylococcus sp.
Lineage: Bacteria; Bacillati; Bacillota; Bacilli; Caryophanales; Staphylococcaceae
Description: bacterial SSU rRNA
Rfam family: Bacterial small subunit ribosomal RNA
Source: RNAcentral
CAGUAGGGAAUCUUCCGCAAUGGGCGAAAGCCUGACGGAGCAACGCCGCGUGAGUGAUGAAGGUCUUCGGAUCGUAAAACUCUGUUGUUAGGGAAGAACAAAUUUGUUAGUAACUGAACAAGUCUUGACGGUACCUAACCAGAAAGCCACGGCUAACUACGUGCCAGCAGCCGCGGUAAUACGUAGGUGGCAAGCGUUAUCCGGAAUUAUUGGGCGUAAAGCGCGCGUAGGCGGUUUCUUAAGUCUGAUGUGAAAGCCCACGGCUCAACCGUGGAGGGUCAUUGGAAACUGGGAAACUUGAGUGCAGAAGAGGAGAGUGGAAUUCCAUGUGUAGCGGUGAAAUGCGCAGAGAUAUGGAGGAACACCAGUGGCGAAGGCGGCUCUCUGGUCUGUAACUGACGCUGAUGUGCGAAAGCGUGGGGAUCAAACAGGAUUAGAUACCCUGGUAGUCCACGCCGUAAACGAUGAGUGCUAAGUGUUAGGGGGUUUCCGCCCCUUAGUGCUGCAGCUAACGCAUUAAGCACUCCGCCUGGGGAGUACGACCGCAAG